AACCGAUGGCCUCCUGAACGCGCAUGCGCUCUCGGGAUUUCCUGAGAGCAGGUCUGCUUCAGUGCUUAGC
This 70-nucleotide ribosomal RNA is filed under the name Symbiodinium sp. B7. RNAcentral's name for it is "partial 5.8S ribosomal RNA". Lineage: Eukaryota; Dinophyceae; Suessiales; Symbiodiniaceae. The record is from RNAcentral.